Molecule: ribosomal RNA, 1533 nt
Filed under: Inosperma quietiodor
Lineage: Eukaryota; Fungi; Basidiomycota; Agaricomycetes; Agaricales; Inocybaceae
Description: eukaryotic LSU rRNA
Rfam family: Eukaryotic large subunit ribosomal RNA (bases 637-1533)
Source: RNAcentral
GUCAUUAGAGUAAGUAUAAGUCGUACCAGGUUUCCGUAGGUGAACCUGCGGAAGGAUCAUUAUCGAAGUCUAAGAGUUGUCGCUGGCCCCUAGGGGUCGUGCACGCUCGCCGUUCUUCAUUUCUCCAUCUAUUUGUGCACCUCCUUGUGUGGAUCCAUGUCCCUUGGGGGACGAUUGGGGACUGCUUUGCGAAUACCUCUUUUUGCAGGCUUUCCUUGUGUCGGAUCCUCAUUUUCUUCACAUACCACUAGAAACAAUAGAGAAGGGUUGGAAUUAUAAAUAUAUACAACUUUCAGCAACGGAUCUCUUGGCUCUCGCAUCGAUGAAGAACGCAGCGAAAUGCGAUAAGUAAUGUGAAUUGCAGAAUUCAGUGAAUCAUCGAAUCUUUGAACGCAUCUUGCGCUCCUUGGUAUUCCGAGGAGCAUGCCUGUUUGAGUGUCAUUAAUAUCUCAACCACGCACGAAAGCGUGUGGCUUGGACUUGGGGGAUGAUGCAGGCUCGGACUCGGUCGGUCGGUCUGCUCCCCUGAAAUACAUGAGCGAAAUAAAAGGCCUCUUUGUUGGGUGUGAUAACUCUAUCUGCAUCCGAGGGUCGUUUAUGUUUGCCAGAUUGGAUUGGAUUGGAUUUCAUUUGACUUGACCUCAAAUCAGGUAGGACCACCCGCUGAACUUAAGCAUAUCAAUAAGCGGAGGAAAAGAAACUAACCAGGAUUCCCUUAGUAACUGCGAGUGAACCGGGAAGAGCUCAAAUUUGUAAUCUGGCGGUCAUUCGAUCGUCCGAGUUGUAAUCUAGAGAAGUGUUACCUGCUCUGGACCGUGUACAAGUCUCCUGGAAUGGAGCAUCACAGAGGGUGAGAAUCCCGUCUUUGACAUGGACUGCCAGAGCUUAAUAGGUGUGCUCUCGAAGAGUCGAGUUGUUUGGGAAUGCAGCUCAAAAUGGGUGGUAAAUGCCAUCUAAAGCUAAAUAUUGGCGAGAGACCGAUAGCGAACAAGUACCGUGAGGGAAAGAUGAAAAGAACUUUGGAAAGAGAGUUAAACAGUACGUGAAAUUGCUGAAAGGGAAACGCUUGAAGUCAGUCGCGUCGGUCGGAAAUCAACCUUGCUUCUGCUGGGCGUACUUUCCGUCCGACGGGUCAGCGUCAGUUUCGGUCGCUGGAUAAAGUUCUUGGGAAUGUGGCAUCCUCGGAUGUGUUAUAGCCCUUUGACAUACACAGCGGCCGGGAUUGAGGAAUUCAGCACGCCCUCCGGGGCUGGGGACUCGUCCCACAAUCUGGGUGCUUAGGAUGCUGGCGUAAUGGCUUUAAUCGACCCGUCUUUAAACACGGACCAAGGAGUCAAACAUGCAUGUGAGUGUUUGGGUGGAAAACCCAUGCGCGCGAUGAAAGUGAAGGUUGAGAUCCCUGUCGUGGGGAGCAUCGACGCCCAGACCAGACCUUCUUGUGACGGAUCUGCGGUAGAGCAUGCAUGUUGGGACCCGAAAGAUGGUGAACUAUGCCUGAAUAGGGUGAAGCCAGAGGAAACUCUGGUGGAGGCU